AGAGUUUGAUCCUGGCUCAGAACGAACGCUGGCGGCGUACUUAACACAUGCAAGUCGGACGAGAAAUUCCGAUUCGUCGGGAGAGUAAAGUGGCGAACGGGUGAGUAACACGAGGGUAAUCUACCCUUAAAUUAGGGAUAACCUUGCGAAAGCGAAGCUAAUACCUGAUAAGACUACGAUCUCCAAGGAGAUAGUAGGAAAAGAUGGCCUCUGUUUCAUGCUAUCGUUUAAGGAUGAGCCCUUGCACUAUUAGCUUGUUGGUGAGGUAACGGCCUACCAAGGCGAGGACGGGUAGGGGGCCUGAGAGGGUGACCCCCCACACGGGUACUGAGACACGGACCCGACUCCUACGGGAGGCAGCAGUAAGGGAUAUUGCGCAAUGGGCGAAAGCCUGACGCAGCAACGCCGCGUGCGGGAUGACGGCCUUCGGGUUGUAAACCGCUUUUCAGGGUGAAGAGGAAGGACGGUAGCCCUGGAAUAAGUCUCGGCUAACUACGUGCCAGCAGCCGCGGUAAAACGUAGGAGGCGAGCGUUAUCCGGAUUUACUGGGUGUAAAGCGCGUGCAGGCGGUCGUGUAAGUCGUGUGUGAAAGCGCUCAGGCUCAACCGGGCGAGGACAUGCGAAACUGCGGGACUAGAGGUAGGUAGAGGCGUGUGGAAUUCCGGGUGUAGUGGUGAAAUGCGUAGAGAUCCGGAGGAACACCAGUGGCGAAGGCGACACGCUGGGCCUGACCUGACGCUAAGACGCGAAAGCAUGGGGAGCGAACGGGAUUAGAAACCCCGGUAGUCCAUGCCGUAAACGAUGUCUACUAAGUGUUGCGGGGUAGAACCUGCAGUGCUGCAGCCAACGUGAUAAGUAGACCACCUGGGGAGUACGGUCGCAAGGCUAAAACUCAAAGGAAUUGACGG
Molecule: ribosomal RNA, 908 nt
Filed under: uncultured bacterium
Lineage: Bacteria
Description: bacterial SSU rRNA
Rfam family: Bacterial small subunit ribosomal RNA
Source: RNAcentral